Molecule: long non-coding RNA, 964 nt
Filed under: Gossypium barbadense (sea-island cotton)
Lineage: Eukaryota; Viridiplantae; Streptophyta; Magnoliopsida; Malvales; Malvaceae
Description: long non-coding RNA (GBAR_LNC009935)
Source: RNAcentral
CCAGACACGUGGACCUCGUAACGACCGUGAGAUGAACGUGAACCACAGCAGGUAAGCUGUGAUAGCCGCCAAAAGGAGCAAUGCAGUCGAUAUAUCCAUAUACCUCUUAACUACAACAAAACAACUCGCUCCUACCUCAAAUUUUCUCUAGAAAAAAAAUGGUUCUAAGAAAAGUUGAAAACAAUAACUUACCUAAAAUAUGGGUUUUUUUCAAAAAGAAAUGUGGAAACACGAAGCACUGAAAGAGAAAGUUUUACGUAAAAGAAAUGAAGGUUCUGCUUUGUUUUUUUUAUUUUUUACGUACAUGAAAGCUGCUUCAUCAAGAAAAAAAAAAGGAGGAUUAAAGAUCUGAAAAACAGAGAAAAAAAAUGAAGAAGAAGAAGAAGAAGAAGAAGAUGAUUGUGCAAAAAUGGAGUAUAGAAAGAGGAUUUAUAGGUGAAAUUAUAAAGAAAGGCAAUUAUUAAGGACAGACUGUUCCUUUGAAUUGCACCAUCAAAUCUCUUGUUUUCCCUUUCUUUUUAAUUUCUUUCUCUUUAGUGUCUAACUAUCAGAUGCACCACCAUAAAUGCGCUGAGAGGUCGUUGAAACCUCUUAAAGCCUUUUUUUUCCUUAAAAAAAGAAAAAGAAAAGAGUCCUAACCAUUACUUGGUGUAGCAAAGCCCAAAAUUAACUCUCAUCUUAUUCUUUGUUUUUCCUAUUUCUCUUUCCUCUACGAAUUUUCACCUAAUUUUUGCAGGGAAAGAAAGAGGGUCUUUAAUUCAAGCAUUGAAUGAAGAGAAUUAAAUGAGUUUAGUUGAGAAAGUAAAAAAGAAGAAGACUACAAUGUCAAUGAAGCAAUAAAAAGAUGAAACAAGUGACGCAAAGAUAAACAGUGUGUAUUUUCUUGGUCCCUUUUAGGGUUUAAUAGAAAAGGAUGGAAUGGGAGAUGUAAAUUAUGAAAAUGGGGUUUAGUCAUGUGAGCUUU